Branchiostoma floridae (Florida lancelet) is the source of this 1804-nucleotide long non-coding RNA. RefSeq lists it as uncharacterized. The transcript is spliced from 3 exons. The record is from RefSeq and is a predicted model, not a curated record. Lineage: Eukaryota; Metazoa; Chordata; Leptocardii; Amphioxiformes; Branchiostomatidae.
ACCACACGCUCGUACCCAGCGCCGUGAAGAAGCCAUAGGUUUGAGAUCGUGGGCUUAUUCACAAUCCACCUCAAGCUGAAUUGAAUAAACUCUAUGGAAUUCACAGCUGUCGUUUUGUUUUGUUUUGUGUUUGUCUCAAUGCCUUAGAAAAUCGUAAGUUGUGAGCGCACGCCACUACGUGCGUUUCUACAGCCUGAGUAUUUUUACAGUUACCGGGUCCAAAACUGGUCGCAAGUUUACUAUUUAGGGCACCACAAUAGUGGCACGUUAUAACAAAGGGAGUUUUAGAAUGUACCUGAUUUGGUGGCGCUGUAAGGGCGUUAAGAUUAUCCCUCUACAUUGCCGAGAGGGAGUUAUGUCACGGAAGGGAGUUUUGCACGGCGGCGCGUUUGGCCUUCUCCACGGACGCUGGUAGAUUUGGAAUCAAGAUGGCGCCCGCAUAUUAAUGAGGCAGCCGGCGGCUAGCGAGUUAAUGUAUGCAAGAAGCCGACGGCUGCCCGAGCGCACCCGAGCGCUGGGGGAACCCGAGAAAUAAUGAGAUGCAGCUCUCUGAUACGUCACGGGCUUCCAGAAAUAGCUCGGCGGAAACACCAGAGCGGUGAGCGGGGUAUUUCACACUACCAAAACAAAAGGUCGGUAUCUUUGUUAAAAAUGACUGAGACCGUUUGGCGGGGAAAAGGUGGCAAAAUGAAGAAAUUUGCAUCGAUAAAAGCUUUUAGACCAAAUUUGCCAAACAAUAUGGUAACGUCAUUGUUGGCCCUCGAACUGCGUAAGUCCAACAGUCCACACAAAGCAUGUACUGCACUCUUCAUCUUGAAAGCAUUUGUCUUCAGCUUGUUUCUUGACUUUUCCUCAGUCACAACCAGUGUCCACAAAAUGGAGUGUAUGAGGGGGCAUUCAUCAGGGAGGGCCGUUGCAAUCUGGCUGAAGAAGGUUACAGGAACAUCAUCUAUGGCUCUUUCUCUUAAGCCCACACCGACCAUCUUUUCAAACGCUUUCAUCUCUUCCGAGAGUUUCACUUGCUGUUGCUUGGACAGUUGAGUCCCACUUUUCUCGUGUUCUCUGAGACUGUCAAUAUGCUCCCUGUAUAACUGGACAAGGGUUGAAACAAGCUUGUUUCUUUUGGCCCACAAGCCCUCAAACUGUGAUGCCACAUGAUGUUCUGUACCAAACUUGGAUAGAUGUGCCCAGCUUUCCUCCAAGUCUUUAUCUACUUUGCGAAUCAAUGCUUGGAUGUUUUCUAUCUGAGCUGUGGUGCCUGUGGCUAACUGCAGACUGUCCAAUGUUGUGGGCUUCCACCUUAAUCCUGAUAGAGCCUUGCCCUUUGCAACAUACUUCAUAGUAAAGAGUGACUUUGCUAUUCUAGAUAUAGUAAUACCAGAUACCGUGGAAGUAUCUGCCGAUGCUUCCUCUUCCUCCUCUUUGUUGGAACAAUGCUUAGCCAUUUGUUCGCAGUGACUUUGAAGACCUGUUUGCACAUCUUCCAUCAAAACACUGUCCUCCUCUGCACCUUCCUCGAGCUUACUCAACAGGUAACCCCGUACAAGAGAACGCACCUUUUCCUGCUGACUCCAGGCACUCCCGGUGCUUGCCCGCUUUGAGGAGGGCUGAGGAAGGGCCUUAGACUUUGGGGUCAUGAGCCGCUUUUUGUCUUUUCUGGGUGUGUUAGUUGGAGUCGUUGUGGAUGGUGACUGUUCCGGUAGAAACCUGGCCAGUGGUUUGUCAUCAUCCGAAGAUGUCUCAAUGUCAUCUAGAAGACACCUGGCCAGGGGUCUGUCAUCAUCAGAUGACUCACCGUCCGCCA